UCAUCUUCGGGGGUAGAGCACUGUUUCGGCUAGGGGGUCAUCCCGACUUACCAACCCGAUGCAAACUGCGAAUACCGAAGAAUGUUAUCACGGGAGACACACGGCGGGUGCUAACGUCCGUCGUGAAGAGGGAAACAACCCAGACCGCCAGCUAAGGUCCCAAAGUCAUGGUUAAGUGGGAAACGAUGUGGGAAGGCACAGACAGCCAGGAUGUUGGCUUAGAAGCAGCCAUCAUUUAAAGAAAGCGUAAUAGCUCACUGGUCGAGUCGGCCUGCGCGGAAGAUGUAACGGGGCUAAACCAUGCACCGAAGCUGCGGCAGCGACACUAUGUGUUGUUGGGUAGGGGAGCGUUCUGUAAGCCGUUGAAGGUGUAUCGUGAGGUAUGCUGGAGGUAUCAGAAGUGCGAAUGCUGACAUAAGUAACGAUAAUGCGGGUGAAAAACCCGCACGCCGGAAGACCAAGGGUUCCUGUCCAACGUUAAUCGGGGCAGGGUGAGUCGACCCCUAAGGCGAGGCCGAAAGGCGUAGUCGAUGGGAAACAGGUUAAUAUUCCUGUACUUGGUGUUACUGCGAAGGGGGGACGGAGAAGGCUAUGUUAGCCGGGCGACGGUUGUCCCGGUUUAAGCAUGUAGGCGGAGGUUCCAGGUAAAUCCGGUACCUUUUUAACGCUGAGGUGUGAUGACGAGGCACUACGGUGCUGAAGUAACAAAUGCCCUGCUUCCAGGAAAAGCCUCUAAGCAUCAGGUAACACGAAAUCGUACCCCAAACCGACACAGGUGGUCAGGUAGAGAAUACCAAGGCGCUUGAGAGAACUCGGGUGAAGGAACUAGGCAAAAUGGUGCCGUAACUUCGGGAGAAGGCACGCUGAUAUGUAGGUGAAGUGAUUUACUCAUGGAGCUGAAAUCAGUCGAAGAUACCAGCUGGCUGCAACUGUUUAUUAAAAACACAGCACUGUGCAAACACGAAAGUGGACGUAUACGGUGUGACGCCUGCCCGGUGCCGGAAGGUUAAUUGAUGGGGUUAUCCGUAAGGAGAAGCUCUUGAUCGAAGCCCCGGUAAACGGCGGCCGUAACUAUAACGGUCCUAAGGUAGCGAAAUUCCUUGUCGGGUAAGUUCCGACCUGCACGAAUGGCGUAAUGAUGGCCAGGCUGUCUCCACCCGAGACUCAGUGAAAUUGAACUCGCUGUGAAGAUGCAGUGUACCCGCGGCAAGACGGAAAGACCCCGUGAACCUUUACUAUAGCUUGACACUGAACACUGGUCCUUGAUGUGUAGGAUAGGUGGGAGGCUUUGAAGUGUGGACGCCAGUCUGCAUGGAGCCAUCCUUGAAAUACCACCCUUUAAUGGCUGGUGUUCUAACGUGGACCCGU
RNAcentral lists this ribosomal RNA (1368 nucleotides) under Citrobacter freundii. RNAcentral describes it as "partial 23S ribosomal RNA". It matches the Rfam family "Bacterial large subunit ribosomal RNA", at positions 890 to 2236 of the family's 2925-position model. Lineage: Bacteria; Pseudomonadati; Pseudomonadota; Gammaproteobacteria; Enterobacterales; Enterobacteriaceae. The record is from RNAcentral.